CCUACGGGUGGCAGCAGUGAGGAAUAUUGGUCAAUGGACGAGAGUCUGAACCAGCCAAGUAGCGUGAAGGAUGACUGCCCUAUGGGUUGUAAACUUCUUUUAUAAAGGAAUAAAACGAGGCACGUGUGCCUUUUUGCAUGUACUUUAUGAAUAAGGAUCGGCUAACUCCGUGCCAGCAGCCGCGGUAAUACGGAGGAUCCGAGCGUUAUCCGGAUUUAUUGGGUUUAAAGGGCGCGUAGAUGGGUUGUUAAGUCAGUUGUGAAAGUUUGCGGCUCAACCGUAAAAAUGCAAUUGAUACUGGCAGUCGUGAGUACAGUUGAGGUAGGCGGAAUUCGUGGUGUAGCGGUGAAAUGCUUAGAUAUCACGAAGAACCCCGAUUGCGAAGGCAGCUUACUAAACUGUGACUGACAUUGAUGCUCGAAAGUGUGGGUAUCAAACAGGAUUAGAUACCCUUGUAGUC
Molecule: ribosomal RNA, 460 nt
Filed under: uncultured bacterium
Lineage: Bacteria
Description: partial 16S ribosomal RNA
Rfam family: Bacterial small subunit ribosomal RNA
Source: RNAcentral